Molecule: ribosomal RNA, 497 nt
Filed under: uncultured bacterium
Lineage: Bacteria
Description: partial 16S ribosomal RNA
Rfam family: Bacterial small subunit ribosomal RNA
Source: RNAcentral
GAUGAACGCUGGCGGCGUGCCUAAUACAUGCAAGUCGAGCGAACGGACGAGAAGCUUGCUUCUCUGAUGUUAGCGGCGGACGGGUGAGUAACACGUGGAUAACCUACCUAUAAGACUGGGAUAACUUCGGGAAACCGUAGCUAAUACCGGAUAAUAUUUUGAACCGCAUGGUUCAAUAGUGAAAGACGGUUUUGCUGUCACUUAUAGAUGGAUCCGCGCUGCAUUAGCUAGUUGGUAAGGUAACGGCUUACCAAGGCAACGAUGCGUAGCCGACCUGAGAGGGUGAUCGGCCACACUGGAACUGAGACACGGUCCAGACUCCUACGGGAGGCAGCAGUAGGGAAUCUUCCGCAAUGGGCGAAAGCCUGACGGAGCAACGCCGCGUGAGUGAUGAAGGUCUUCGGAUCGUAAAACUCUGUUAUUAGGGAAGAACAAAUGUGUAAGUAACUGUGCACAUCUUGACGGUACCUAAUCAGAAAGCCACGGCUAACUACGUG